UACGUAGGGGGGCAAGCGUUGUCCGGAAUCAUUGGGCGUAAAGAGCGUGUAGGCGGUUCGGUAAGUCGGCUGUGAAAGUCCAGGGCUCAACCCCUGGGGAUGCCGGUCGAUACUGCCCGGACUAGAGUUCGGAAGAGGCGAGUGGAAUUCCCGGUGUAGCGGUGAAAUGCGCAGAUAUCGGGAGGAACACCUAUGGCGAAGGCAGCUCGCUGGGACGUUACUGACGCUGAGACGCGAAAGCGUGGGGAGCAAACAGG
RNAcentral lists this ribosomal RNA (257 nucleotides) under uncultured bacterium. Its description in RNAcentral is "partial 16S ribosomal RNA". It matches the Rfam family "Bacterial small subunit ribosomal RNA", at positions 524 to 776 of the family's 1533-position model. The record is from RNAcentral.